GCCCUCGUAGUGAAAUGGAUAUCACAGCAGGCUUCGGACCUGUUUUUGUAGGUUCGAAUCCUACCGAGGGCG
This 72-nucleotide transfer RNA is filed under the name Candidatus Buchananbacteria bacterium RIFCSPHIGHO2_01_FULL_46_12. Its description in RNAcentral is "tRNA-Arg". It matches the Rfam family "tRNA". From Rfam's summary of the family: Transfer RNA (tRNA) molecules are approximately 80 nucleotides in length. Their secondary structure includes four short double-helical elements and three loops (D, anti-codon, and T loops). The record is from RNAcentral. Lineage: Bacteria; Candidatus Buchananiibacteriota. RNAcentral also lists the same sequence under 1 other name.